Molecule: ribosomal RNA, 212 nt
Filed under: uncultured bacterium
Lineage: Bacteria
Description: partial 16S ribosomal RNA
Rfam family: Bacterial small subunit ribosomal RNA
Source: RNAcentral
CAGUUCGGAUCGCAGGCUGCAACCCGCCUGCGUGAAGUUGGAAUCGCUAGUAAUCGCGGAUCAGCAUGCCGCGGUGAAUACGUUCCCGGGCCUUGUACACACCGCCCGUCACGCCAUGAGAGUCGGGAACACCCGAAGUCGGUAGUCUAACCGCAAGGAGGACGCCGCCGAAGGUGGGGUUGAUGAUUAGGGUUAAGUCGUAACAAGGUAAC